GAUGAAUGAAAGGCAGAAACGAAAUAUUGUCCGUUUCGGCUUUAUAAGAGAAACAAAA
This is a regulatory RNA element of Enterococcus thailandicus, 58 nucleotides long. It matches the Rfam family "Lacto-rpoB RNA". The record is from Rfam. NCBI's taxonomy places the organism in Bacteria, Bacillati, Bacillota, Bacilli, Lactobacillales, Enterococcaceae.